AACGAACGCUGGCGGCAUGCCUAACACAUGAAGUCGAACGAGACCUUCGGGUCUAGUGGCGCACGGGUGCGUAACGCGUGGGAACCUGCCCUUAGGUUCGGAAUAACUCCCCGAAAGGGGUGCUAAUACCGGAUAAUGUCUUCGGACCAAAGAUUUAUCGCCUUUGGAUGGGCCCGCGUUGGAUUAGCUAGUUGGUAGGGUAAAAGCCUACCAAGGCGACGAUCCAUAGCUGGUCUGAGAGGAUGAUCAGCCACACUGGGACUGAGACACGGCCCAGACUCCUACGGGAGGCAGCAGUGGGGAAUAUUGGACAAUGGGCGAAAGCCUGAUCCAGCAAUGCCGCGUGAGUGAUGAAGGCCUUAGGGUUGUAAAGCUCUUUUACCCGGGAUGAUAAUGACAGUACCGGGAGAAUAAGCGCCGGCUAACUCCGUG
Molecule: ribosomal RNA, 432 nt
Filed under: uncultured bacterium
Lineage: Bacteria
Description: partial 16S ribosomal RNA
Rfam family: Bacterial small subunit ribosomal RNA
Source: RNAcentral